ACGUGGGAGGGGCGCAGGUCCCGGGGACCUUGCGAGGCUGGAAAGUGGAAGAAGAUGGGGGCUCGAGGUUCGAACCGACCCUUCCCUAGCAAGAGUGAGGGGAUAGACGGGACGUGCCAGGUUUGCGGCGACCCCACCCUCCCGGCCGUGCUGGCCCUCUCCCCAAUGCCCCUAACCUCCCAGGAUUGAAACUCGAGGACCUGCCUCGCCGAGUGGGAGGAACCAACUCUUUCCAUACCUGUCAGCGGGAGCCGAGAGCCCAGCCCGGCCGCCUGGAGCGCAGAGAAGCUAGCCGGGCCCCAAGCGGCCCUGCUCGGGGCAGCACCGGAGCGGGCCGGGCAGCAGUGGGCGCUCGCGUUCCUCCUCUGCCCCACGCGCUCUCCCUCAGGACCCGGCCUCCUCGGUCCCCUCCUCCUGCUCCUGCUCCUCCUCCUGCUCCUCCCCUUCGCGGGUCUGAUCUCCUAGCCUCGCGUCUGCAAAGUCCCCGGCGCGCGGGCAGCCACGAACCGCCGCCACUGCCGGGUCGCAGUGGGUGCCGGCGCCCGUGCCUCACCGCCUGCGCAGGGUCGUGCCGAAGCUCACUCCGCCGGCCGCCGGAGCUCCACGGCGCUGCCCAUGGCCCAGCCCGAGAGCCGACUUCGGGCCCCGGACCGGCUAGAAGGUGGCGCGGCUCAGAGUCAGGAGGUUCGCUCCUGCCCAACGCUUCUCCCUAGGAUCGUGCGGGGCAGCAGGACCGCAAAGCGCAGCGAAGCCCAGUAAUCGGAGGCCUGCGACACCCAUGUGUCACUGAUCUGGAAGCAUCCCCCUGCGGCAGCGCUUCAUGAUCCAGUGGCGCCCGGCCCAGUG
This is a long non-coding RNA of Camelus dromedarius (Arabian camel), 846 nucleotides long. The record is from Ensembl. Lineage: Eukaryota; Metazoa; Chordata; Mammalia; Artiodactyla; Camelidae.